RNAcentral lists this ribosomal RNA (495 nucleotides) under uncultured bacterium. RNAcentral describes it as "partial 16S ribosomal RNA". It matches the Rfam family "Bacterial small subunit ribosomal RNA", at positions 28 to 507 of the family's 1533-position model. The record is from RNAcentral.
GACGAACGCUGGCGGCGUGCCUAAUACAUGCAAGUAGAACGCUGAAGGAGGAGCUUGCUUCUCUGGAUGAGUUGCGAACGGGUGAGUAACGCGUAGGUAACCUGCCUGGUAGCGGGGGAUAACUAUUGGAAACGAUAGCUAAUACCGCAUAAGAGUAGAUGUUGCAUGACAUUUGCUUAAAAGGUGCAAUUGCAUCACUACCAGAUGGACCUGCGUUGUAUUAGCUAGUUGGUGAGGUAACGGCUCACCAAGGCAACGAUACAUAGCCGACCUGAGAGGGUGAUCGGCCACACUGGGACUGAGACACGGCCCAGACUCCUACGGGAGGCAGCAGUAGGGAAUCUUAGGCAAUGGACGGAAGUCUGACCGAGCAACGCCGCGUGAGUGAAGAAGGUUUUCGGAUCGUAAAGCUCUGUUGUAAGAGAAGAACGAGUGUGAGAGUGGAAAGUUCACACUGUGACGGUAUCUUACCAGAAAGGGACGGCUAACUACGUG